UACAUAUGUCACAGCCCUACUAUAUCGUUC
RNAcentral lists this small RNA (30 nucleotides) under Bombyx mori (domestic silkworm). RNAcentral describes it as "ovarian small RNA-20383". Lineage: Eukaryota; Metazoa; Arthropoda; Insecta; Lepidoptera; Bombycidae. The record is from RNAcentral.